UUUGAUUGACAAAUCCUCGAAACUUGGAACGUGUUCCUUCGAACUUAUCUGGAAGGCUAACUCGAGGCUCCUUAUGUUGUAGAACUAGUGGUUCUUGUCGAACUUGAGGUAAAGUUGUUUCUCCAAGUGCAGAAGUUUGAGGCUGGUGCAGUUUAGAUUGUGCUAUCCCAGAUACUCCAUCAUUAUGAAGCCUUGCCACCACUCCUUGAAUCUCUGCAGUUCUUUGUGAUAACGUAGCGAGGGCAUUCAUAAUAGCAUCUAACUUAGACUCCGAACUUACUGUCAUACUAAUGUCUUGACCUCCGGCCAUUCUAAAAGAAGGACAAAAAUGACUCUACAAGAGGCAAUAUUGGUUUAUAGGAGGGUAAUCCACAACCUAUAAAACGCCUUAAGAAUUUCAAGAAGAGGAGUAAUCUACUCUCUCUAAGAAGAAUAAGACUCCAAUAUUGUAACAGAAGAAGUAUCAGUUUAGAGGAGAGUAAUCCGCAACCUCUAAAAUGCUAGUAUACCUUCAAGUAGAGGGAUAAUCUACACUCUACUAAGAAAGAACUAGCUCUGAUAUCUCAAGUUAGUGCAGUCUCGACAAACUGUCACGGAUACAAAAUACAGACUUGAAAUCUAACAAGAAGUUCAAGAAGAAGUUGCAGAACUAGAUUAAACAGAUAAGUACAAGAACAAUACCAGAAAGGUGAGCUAGAACUCCAAGAGAUGUGUUGUCGAG
Molecule: long non-coding RNA, 721 nt
Filed under: Physcomitrium patens
Lineage: Eukaryota; Viridiplantae; Streptophyta; Bryopsida; Funariales; Funariaceae
Description: long non-coding RNA (PPAT_LNC002690)
Source: RNAcentral